GGCGGGACUUCCGCCGCCAGCUGAGGGCGGGGUACCCGUCUGUGCUCCUCCCUGUGCCUGUGGGCGGUCUUCGCCGGGGGCGGUAGCUGCUUCGGGCCGGGUGGCUCUGAACGCCGCGGAUGGUGUUGGUGCUUCUCCGGGGCGCCUGGAGAGCGGGAUCCAGGCAAGGCGGAGGAGGGGGCUUUGUGCUUGCAGACAUCAGGGCUCAGUGCUGUGGCAGCAAGCAGUGAAACAGCAAUAGCUCAGUCCCAGGACCCCUGCAGUGCCCAGGCUCUCACUCCAGCACAGCGAGCAAUGCCAGGAGCUGCCUGUG
Long non-coding RNA from Numida meleagris (helmeted guineafowl), 313 nucleotides. RefSeq lists it as uncharacterized. The transcript has 3 exons. The record is from RefSeq and is a predicted model, not a curated record. Lineage: Eukaryota; Metazoa; Chordata; Aves; Galliformes; Numididae.